AUCAAGCUGACGAGUCCAAAGUAGGACGAAACGCACAUCCUACAU
RNAcentral lists this non-coding RNA (45 nucleotides) under Schistosoma mattheei. Lineage: Eukaryota; Metazoa; Platyhelminthes; Trematoda; Strigeidida; Schistosomatidae. The record is from RNAcentral.